GAUGAACGCUGGCGGCGUGCCUAAUACAUGCAAGUAGAACGCUGAAGCUUGGUGCUUGCACCGAGCGGAUGAGUUGCGAACGGGUGAGUAACGCGUAGGUAACCUGCCUCUUAGCGGGGGAUAACUAUUGGAAACGAUAGCUAAUACCGCAUAAAAGUCGACAUCGCAUGAUGUUGACUUGAAAGGUGCAAUUGCAUCACUAAGAGAUGGACCUGCGUUGUAUUAGCUAGUUGGUGAGGUAACGGCUCACCAAGGCGACGAUACAUAGCCGACCUGAGAGGGUGAUCGGCCACACUGGGACUGAGACACGGCCCAGACUCCUACGGGAGGCAGCAGUAGGGAAUCUUCGGCAAUGGGGGCAACCCUGACCGAGCAACGCCGCGUGAGUGAAGAAGGUUUUCGGAUCGUAAAGCUCUGUUGUAAGAGAAGAACGAGUGCGAGAGUGGAAAGUUCACACUGUGACGGUAACUUACCAGAAAGGGACGGCUAACUACGUG
RNAcentral lists this ribosomal RNA (497 nucleotides) under uncultured bacterium. Its description in RNAcentral is "partial 16S ribosomal RNA". It matches the Rfam family "Bacterial small subunit ribosomal RNA", at positions 28 to 507 of the family's 1533-position model. The record is from RNAcentral.